UGACAUGGUUGAUGUUGUAUGAUGGUGUAUGGGUUUGGUAUGAGACAAUAUAGUAAGAAUGCACUUGAAUGACUAUGAAAUUUUAUGUUUGAUGAAUUAAAGUGGUUUAUGAGGUACAUUAUUGAUUCAAGAGGAAUAUCAUGUGAUUUAAAGUGGUUAGAUUUAAUAUGAAAUUAAGAUCUCUCGGUGAGAUCAGUUAGUGUAUUGAAUGAAUGUGAGAGGCUUCCAUAUGGGGGGGUUAUUCCUAACACUCCAACGGUCUUCAUUCUCACUUAGAAAGGAUUGACGCGUGUGGUGGGAGUAGUGGGAGGUCCUAGGGUAGGCGCUAUCACUAGAGGUCUAUUCUACGGUAACAGACUAGCUUUGUGUGUGGUCAGGUGGAACCCCUCGGCAAUAUCACUAGAGGUCUAUUCUGCGGUAACAGACUUUGCAAAGCAGUAGAGGCCACCACAAGUGCACAACCCGCCCUAGCUCUACAUACAUUCCAUGUCCGG
RNAcentral lists this long non-coding RNA (494 nucleotides) under Vigna radiata. RNAcentral's name for it is "long non-coding RNA (VRAD_LNC012451)". The record is from RNAcentral. Lineage: Eukaryota; Viridiplantae; Streptophyta; Magnoliopsida; Fabales; Fabaceae.